AUUGAACGCUGGCGGCAGGCCUAACACAUGCAAGUCGAGCGGUAGAGAGAAGCUUGCUUCUCUUGAGAGCGGCGGACGGGUGAGUAAUGCCUAGGAAUCUGCCUGGUAGUGGGGGAUGACGUUCGGAAACGGACGCUAAUACCGCAUACGUCCUACGGGAGAAAGCAGGGGACCUUCGGGCCUUGCGCUAUCAGAUGAGCCUAGGUCGGAUUAGCUAGUUGGUGGGGUAAUGGCUCACCAAGGCGACGAUCCGUAACUGGUCGGAGAGGAUGAUCAGUCACACUGGAACUGAGACGCGGUCCAGACUCCUACGGGAGGCAGCAGUGGGGAAUAUUGGACAAUGGGCGAAAGCCUGAUCCAGCCAUGCCGCGUGUGUGAAGAAGGUCUUCGGAUUGUAAAGCACUUUAAGUUGGGAGGAAGGGCAGUAAAUUAAUACUUUGCUGUUUUGACGUUACCGACAGAAUAAGCACCGGCUAACUCUGUGACAGCCGCCGCCGUAA
Molecule: ribosomal RNA, 500 nt
Filed under: uncultured bacterium
Lineage: Bacteria
Description: partial 16S ribosomal RNA
Rfam family: Bacterial small subunit ribosomal RNA
Source: RNAcentral